RNAcentral lists this ribosomal RNA (490 nucleotides) under uncultured bacterium. RNAcentral's name for it is "partial 16S ribosomal RNA". It matches the Rfam family "Bacterial small subunit ribosomal RNA", at positions 30 to 507 of the family's 1533-position model. The record is from RNAcentral.
AUUGAACGCUGGCGGCAGGCCUAACACAUGCAAGUCGAACGGUAACAGGAAGAAGCUUGCUUCUUUGCUGACGAGUGGCGGACGGGUGAGUAAUGUCUGGGAAACUGCCUGAUGGAGGGGGAUAACUACUGGAAACGGUAGCUAAUACCGCAUAACGUCGCAAGACCAAAAAGGGGGACCUUCGGGCCUCUUGCCAUCGGAUGUGCCCAGAUGGGAUUAGCUAGUAGGAGGGGUAACGGCUCACCUAGGCGACGAUCCCUAGCUGGUCUGAGAGGAUGACCAGCCACACUGGAACUGAGACACGGUCCAGACUCCUACGGGAGGCAGCAGUGGGGAAUAUUGCACAAUGGGCGCAAGCCUGAUGCAGCCAUGCCGCGUGUAUGAAGAAGGCCUUCGGGUUGUAAAGUACUUUCAGCGGGGAGGAAGGGAGUAAAGUUAAUACCUUUGCUCAUUGACGUUACCCGCAGAAGAAGCACCGGCUAACUCCGUG